UGGGGAAUAUUGCACAAUGGGGGAAACCCUGAUGCAGCGACGCCGCGUGAACGAAGAAGGUAUUCGUAUCGUAAAGUUCUGUCCUAUGGGAAGAUAAUGACAGUACCAUAGAAGAAAGCUCCGGCUAAAUACGUGCCAGCAGCCGCGGUAAUACGUAGGGCGCAAGCGUUAUCCGGAAUUAUUGGGCGUAAAGAGCUUGUAGGCGGUUCGUCGCGUCUGGUGUGAAAGCCCAUCGCUUAACGGUGGGUUUGCGCCGGGUACGGGCGGGCUAGAGUGCAGUAGGGGAGACUGGAAUUCUCGGUGUAACGGUGGAAUGUGUAGAUAUCGGGAAGAACACCAAUGGCGAAGGCAGGUCUCUGGGCUGUUACUGACGCUGAGAAGCGAAAGCGUGGGGAGCGAACAGG
Molecule: ribosomal RNA, 404 nt
Filed under: Bacteroidota bacterium
Lineage: Bacteria; Pseudomonadati; Bacteroidota
Description: Bacteroidetes bacterium partial 16S ribosomal RNA
Rfam family: Bacterial small subunit ribosomal RNA
Source: RNAcentral